Molecule: ribosomal RNA, 460 nt
Filed under: uncultured bacterium
Lineage: Bacteria
Description: partial 16S ribosomal RNA
Rfam family: Bacterial small subunit ribosomal RNA
Source: RNAcentral
CCUACGAGAGGCAGCAGUGAGGAAUAUUGGUCAAUGGGCGCGAGCCUGAACCAGCCAAGUAGUGUGAAGGCUGACUGCCCUACGGGUUGUAAACUUCUUUUAUAAAGGAAUAAAGUGAGGCACGUGUGCCUUUUUGUAUGUACUUUAUGAAUAAGGAUCGGCUAACUCCGUGCCAGCAGCCGCGGUAAUACGGAGGAUCCGAGCGUUGUCCGGAUUUAUUGGGUUUAAAGGGAGCGUAGUUGGGUUGUUAAGUCAGUUGUGAAAGUUUGCGGCUCAACCGUAAAAUUGCAAUUGAUACUGGCAGUCUUGAGUACAGUUGAGGUAGGCGGAAUUCGUGGUGUAGCGGUGAAAUGCUUAGAUAUCACGAAGAACUCCGAUUGCGAAGGCAGCUUACUAAACUGCCACUGACAUUGAUGCUCGAAAGUGUGGGUAUCAAACAGGAUUAGAUACCCCUGUAGUC